RNAcentral lists this ribosomal RNA (366 nucleotides) under uncultured bacterium. RNAcentral describes it as "partial 16S ribosomal RNA". It matches the Rfam family "Bacterial small subunit ribosomal RNA", at positions 338 to 701 of the family's 1533-position model. The record is from RNAcentral.
CCUACGGGUGGCAGCAGUGAGGAAUAUUGGUCAAUGGCCGGAAGGCUGAACCAGCCAUGCCGCGUGAAGGUCAGCGCCCUAUGGGCGUUAAACUUCUUUUUUGCGGGAGCAAUAAUGGUCACGUGUGGCCAGACGAGAGUACCGUACGAAUAAGCAUCUGCUAACUCCGUGCCAGCAGCCGCGGUAAUACGGGGGAUGCAAGCGUUUUCCGGCUUUAUUGGGUUUAAAGGGUGCGUAGGCUGUGAGGUAAGUCAGCGGUGAAAUGCCCCCGCUCAACGGGGUGAAGUGCCAUUGAUAAUGCGUUGCUGGAAUGCGGAUGCAGUGGGGGGAAUGUGUGGUGUAGCGGUGAAAUGCAUAGAUAUCACA